UGGGGAAUAUUGCACAAUGGGCGCAAGCCUGAUGCAGCCAUGCCGCGUGUGUGAAGAAGGCCUCGGGUUGUAAAGCACUUUCAGCGAGGAGGAAGGUGGUGAACUUAAUACGUUCAUCAAUUGACGUUACUCGCAGAAGAAGCACCGGCUAACUCCGUGCCAGCAGCCGCGGUAAUACGGAGGGUGCAAGCGUUAAUCGGAAUUACUGGGCGUAAAGCGCACGCAGGCGGUUUGUUAAGUCAGAUGUGAAAAUCCCCGGGCUCAACCUGGGAACUGCAUUUGAAAACUGGCAAGCUAGAGUCUCNUAGAGGGGGGUAGAAUUCCAGGUGUAGCGGUGAAAUGCGUAGAGAUCUGGAGGAAUACCGGUGGCGAAGGCGGCCCCCUGGACGAAGACUGACGCUCAGGUGCGAAAA
This 413-nucleotide ribosomal RNA is filed under the name uncultured bacterium. RNAcentral's name for it is "partial 16S ribosomal RNA". It matches the Rfam family "Bacterial small subunit ribosomal RNA", at positions 355 to 759 of the family's 1533-position model. The record is from RNAcentral.